UUGAUGCAGUGUAGAUCUGUGCUUAGCAAACUCAGAAGGCCCUGUCACCACCAGGAAGGAAGAGACCCCACGACUGAGGGCAGUGGGCUAUGAGAUUUGUGACCCUUUCCUCUGCCUGCCUCUGCCCCUGCCCAUUGGGACCCUGCUGGACCAGGCAUCCAUCCUAUGGAAAUCUCCAUGAAGCGUCGACCUCCCUGCCCCCCAGGCAUUGGACAGGGGCCAGGAAAUGGAAUGAAAGCAGCCACUGUCUGAAGAGCUGGAGACCAUCAUCUGCCUCUGGAAGCCCAGAGAACCUCGGCUCAGACAGAAGGACAGAGACUGAGGGAAGGGAGAGAGACUGUGACAGAGAAGCAGAGGAGGGUGACAGAGUCAGGGAGGAACAAAACAGCCUGCAGUGGGAGCAGAGAC
RNAcentral lists this long non-coding RNA (408 nucleotides) under Homo sapiens (human). RNAcentral describes it as "HSALNT0243670". Lineage: Eukaryota; Metazoa; Chordata; Mammalia; Primates; Hominidae. The record is from RNAcentral.